GACGAACGCUGGCGGCGUGCUUAACACAUGCAAGUCGAGCGGAAAGGCCCGUUCGGGGUACUCGAGCGGCGAACGGGUGAGUAACACGUGAGUAACCUGCCCUUGGCUCUGGGAUAAGCCCGGGAAACUGGGUCUAAUACCGGAUAUGACCACUGACUGCAUGGUUGGUGGUGGAAAGUUUUUCGGCUGGGGAUGGACUCGCGGUCUAUCAGCUUGUUGGUGGGGCGAUGGCCUACCAAGGCGACGACGGAUAGCCGGCCUGAGAGGGUGACCGGCCACACUGGGACUGAGACACGGCCCAGACUCCUACGGGAGGCAGCAGUGGGGAAUAUUGGACAAUGGGCGCAAGCCUGAUCCAGCCAUGCCGCGUGGAUGAUGAAGGCCUUAGGGUUGUAAAGUCCUUUUAACGGGGAAGAUAAUGACGGUACCCGUAGAAUAA
This 439-nucleotide ribosomal RNA is filed under the name uncultured bacterium. Its description in RNAcentral is "bacterial SSU rRNA". It matches the Rfam family "Bacterial small subunit ribosomal RNA", at positions 28 to 489 of the family's 1533-position model. The record is from RNAcentral.